This 510-nucleotide ribosomal RNA is filed under the name uncultured bacterium. Its description in RNAcentral is "partial 16S ribosomal RNA". It matches the Rfam family "Bacterial small subunit ribosomal RNA", at positions 28 to 507 of the family's 1533-position model. The record is from RNAcentral.
GACGAACGCUGGCGGCGUGCUUAACACAUGCAAGUCGAACGAAGAGCGACGGAAGCUUGCUUCUAUCAAUCUUAGUGGCGAACGGGUGAGUAACGCGUAAUCAACCUGCCCUUCAGAGGUGGACAACAGUUGGAAACGGCUGCUAAUACCGCAUACGAUCUAACCUCGGCAUCGAGGAUAGAUGAAAGGUGGCCUCUACAUGUAAGCUAUCACUGAAGGAGGGGAUUGCGUCUGAUUAGCUAGUUGGAGGGGUAACGGCCCACCAAGGCGAUGAUCAGUAGCCGGUCUGAGAGGAUGAACGGCCACAAUGGGACUGAGACACGGCCCAGACUCCUACGGGAGGCAGCAGGGGGGAAUCUUCCGCAAUGGACGAAAGUCUGACGGAGCAACGCCGCGUGAGUGAUGAAGGCCUUCGGGUUGUAAAGCUCUGUUAAUCGGGACGAAAGGCCUUCUUGCGAAUAGGGAGAAGGAUUGACGGUACCGGAAUAGAAAGCCACGGCUAACUACGUG